GGUGAGAUGGCCGAGCUGUCUGAGGUGCCCCACUAGGGUGCCACGGGCAUUGAAAUCGGGAUGGUCUGGGUUCGAAACCCGCUCUCACCA
This is a non-coding RNA of Epithele typhae, 90 nucleotides long. The record is from the annotation of a RefSeq genome assembly. Lineage: Eukaryota; Fungi; Basidiomycota; Agaricomycetes; Polyporales; Epitheliaceae.